Molecule: long non-coding RNA, 352 nt
Organism: Arachis duranensis
Lineage: Eukaryota; Viridiplantae; Streptophyta; Magnoliopsida; Fabales; Fabaceae
Exons: 3
Source: RefSeq, a predicted model, not a curated record
GUGGAAGUGGGAGUUCGGGUGAUUUGGAUUACACCCGAGAGAAGGGGCUGGUUGAUGCAGCUUUUGGUUAAAUAAUUAAAGGUUCAUUUUUGCUCAAUUUUGAAGAUGCUGUCUGAUCAGAGAAAAAAGGCUUGCAGGAAAAGCUCUAGUGAAGCUAAUCAAGAGACGGCCGUCUGUGAUCUCUAAGUGUGUUAUCUGCCUUACCAACAAGUUGCAGGAUUCCAAUGCCGAGGAAUAUGCAGUGCUGGGUUCUUGUUCGGUCCUUGCCUCACAAACGGUUCUUAAACAGUUGACUACGGAUCUGAAGUCAUUCUCUUCAUUUAUCAUGGCUAUUCUCUCAAGGUAUUUCCAU